ACACCUCAACUCUCACGGUUUGUCCGUGAUGAGCUUGGACUUCUGGAGGUUUUGCUGGCCUGCGGUCAGCUCCUCUCAAAUGGAUCAGCUUACCAGUGUUUGGUGGCGCCAUGGGUGUGAUAACUAUCUACGCUUGUGGUCGUCUGCCAGGUAACCUUCAGUGAUGGAGGUUUGCUGGGGCUUACAAACGUCUUUCCUCAGUGAAGACAGCAUUUUGAAC
Molecule: unclassified non-coding RNA, 220 nt
Filed under: uncultured Thelephora
Lineage: Eukaryota; Fungi; Basidiomycota; Agaricomycetes; Thelephorales; Thelephoraceae
Description: sequence contains ITS2
Source: RNAcentral